GUACUUGCUUCAGCAGCACAUAUAUUAAAAUUGGAACGAUACAGAAAUUAGCAUGGUACAAGGGUGACGUGCAAAUUUGUGAAGUAUUCCAUAUUUAG
This 98-nucleotide small nuclear RNA is filed under the name Sorex araneus (European shrew). The record is from RNAcentral. Lineage: Eukaryota; Metazoa; Chordata; Mammalia; Eulipotyphla; Soricidae.